ACCACAGGGAUAACUGGCUUGU
Molecule: non-coding RNA, 22 nt
Filed under: Arabidopsis thaliana (thale cress)
Lineage: Eukaryota; Viridiplantae; Streptophyta; Magnoliopsida; Brassicales; Brassicaceae
Also listed under: 1 other name
Source: RNAcentral